This 76-nucleotide transfer RNA is filed under the name Thermus thermophilus HB27. RNAcentral describes it as "tRNA-Ala". It matches the Rfam family "tRNA". From Rfam's summary of the family: Transfer RNA (tRNA) molecules are approximately 80 nucleotides in length. Their secondary structure includes four short double-helical elements and three loops (D, anti-codon, and T loops). The record is from RNAcentral. Lineage: Bacteria; Thermotogati; Deinococcota; Deinococci; Thermales; Thermaceae.
UGGGGCCGUGGCGCAGUUGGGAGCGCGCCUCAAUGGCAUUGAGGAGGUCAGGGGUUCGAAUCCCCUCGGCUCCACC